UACGUAGGGGGCGAGCGUUGUCCGGAUUUAUUGGGCGUAAAGAGCUCGUAGGCGGCUUGGCAAGUCGGGUGUGAAACCUCCAGCUCAACCUGGAGACGCCACUCGAUACUGCCAUGGCUAGAGUCCGGUAGGGGACCACGGAAUUCCUGGUGUAGCGGUGAAAUGCGCAGAUAUCAGGAGGAACACCGGUGGCGAAGGCGGCAUCCUGGACCAACACUGACGCUGAGUGAGCGAAAGCCAGGGGAGCAAACGGG
This 254-nucleotide ribosomal RNA is filed under the name uncultured bacterium. RNAcentral describes it as "partial 16S ribosomal RNA". It matches the Rfam family "Bacterial small subunit ribosomal RNA", at positions 524 to 776 of the family's 1533-position model. The record is from RNAcentral.